Molecule: ribosomal RNA, 427 nt
Filed under: uncultured bacterium
Lineage: Bacteria
Description: bacterial SSU rRNA
Rfam family: Bacterial small subunit ribosomal RNA
Source: RNAcentral
UGGGGAAUCUUGCGCAAUGGGCGAAAGCCUGACGCAGCAACGCCGCGUGGAGGAUGAAGGCCCUUGGGUUGUAAACUCCUGUCGGUUGGGAAGAAAUCUUACGGGGUUAAUACCUCCGUAAGUUGACUGUACCAGCAAAGGAAGCCCCGGCUAACUCUGUGCCAGCAGCCGCGGUAAUACAGAGGGGGCCAGCGUUGUUCGGAAUUAUUGGGCGUAAAGCGCGUGUAGGCGGCUUUGCAAGUCGGGUGUGAAAGCCCUCAGCUCAACUGAGGAAGUGCGCCCGAAACUGCAGAGCUUGAGUACCGGAGAGGAUGGCGGAAUUCCCCAAGUAGAGGUGAAAUUCGUAGAUAUGGGGAGGAACACCGGUGGCGAAGGCGGCCAUCUGGACGGAUACUGACGCUGAGACGCGAAAGCGUGGGGAGCAAAC